Molecule: long non-coding RNA, 258 nt
Filed under: Ricinus communis (castor bean)
Lineage: Eukaryota; Viridiplantae; Streptophyta; Magnoliopsida; Malpighiales; Euphorbiaceae
Description: long non-coding RNA (RCOM_LNC001156)
Source: RNAcentral
AUUCGUGACUGUUAGUCCUCUCGCGACUCCUAUUCAGUAACCCAACUCCUUCAUCAUCGGGUGAAGUAUUUGAUUUGGUAUGUAAAUUGGUAAAUCUUAGAUUCUCCGCAGUAGUAAUAGUAGAUGUAUCAGUUGUAAAUUUUCUGAGUUUCAGGUCUCGCCUAGUUUUUCUGGCAGACCGAAGUAUUUGUGUAGAAUGUAGCUAUUAAGAUAAUUUGUGGUUUUAAUAAUAUUAAUUUGAGAUGAGAUUUGUUUAAA